AGACGUCUACAUUAGAUACCCGGGUAGUCCCAGCCGUAAACAAUGUGCGUUAGGUGUGUCGGUAACCACGCGUUACUGAUGCGCCGAAGAGAAAUCGUGAAACGCACCACCUGGGAAGUACGGUCGCAAGGCUGAAACUUAAAGGAAUUGGCGGGGAGCACCACAACAGGUGGAGCCUGCGGUUUAAUUGGAUUCAACGCCGGACAUCUCACCGGAUAAGACAGCUGAAUGAUUGUCAAUCUGAAGGUUUUACAUGACUAGCUG
RNAcentral lists this ribosomal RNA (264 nucleotides) under uncultured archaeon. RNAcentral's name for it is "partial 16S ribosomal RNA". It matches the Rfam family "Archaeal small subunit ribosomal RNA", at positions 717 to 982 of the family's 1478-position model. The record is from RNAcentral.